This is a long non-coding RNA of Manis pentadactyla (Chinese pangolin), 924 nucleotides long. RefSeq lists it as uncharacterized. The transcript has 2 exons. The record is from RefSeq and is a predicted model, not a curated record. NCBI's taxonomy places the organism in Eukaryota, Metazoa, Chordata, Mammalia, Pholidota, Manidae.
GGGCGGUGAGCGUACACACGGGACGCCCGGGAACCUGGGGUGGGGAAGCACCGCCUCUGGCUGUGGAAGGGCCCCGCGGCUGUCACUGAGUCUCUCACACCCCCUCCCUGUCCCGUGGCACCGUCAUGGGAGUGUGACACGGGGUCCCGGUGAGUCACAGACGCUUCCGCGUGAGGGCUGAGGAAGAGCGGAGACCAGGAAGUUCCGUGAUGCCGGCAUGAGUGUGGCAAGUCAUUCCUGAGGUUGCACACAGGAGGCAUUAGGGUUGGGAAACAAGUGCAUCGCCCUGGUCCUGGGCCGUCCCCUGCCUGGAGCCGCCUGCUCCUUAUAAAAGGGCCUCCUCAGCACACGGAGGCUAUCCUGCCGACACUCAGCCCUAGACCUUCUGCGGAGCGUCAGAUUCCUCGGACCCAGGAAAGAUGUCUUACCAGCAGCAGCAGUGCAAGCAGCCCUGCCAGCCUCCCCCCGUGUUCAUACCUAAGUGCCCGGAGCCUUGCCCUCCACCUAAGUGCCCGGAGCCUUGCCCAGCCCCAAAGUGCCCGCAGCCGUGUCCUCCCCCUCCGUGCCAGCAGAAGUGCCCCCCCUGCCAGCAGAAGUGUCCUCCCAAGUGCAAGUAACAGCGCCCGCACCGCCAAGGGUCAUGAAACGGAAAGACCCAGGCUCGUCUCAGUCCCAGGACCCCAUCACCCUCCUUUCUGCCGUGGUGACGCAUGCGUCUUCUCUCAGCUCCCACCUGAGCUGACAGCUCACAGAGAAAAGGCCUGGUGCCUGAGCUGAUGCCAUGCGGCUGGAGGACGCACAGCGACAUCAUUGCCUCAUCUCGCUCUGCCAUCUUCGUGUGUCACUGGGUGGCGAUCUCUGUUCUGUGAGCCUUUGAGCGGCUAUUCUUUUGCUUCUCUAAUAAAGCAAAUGUUUCAUGCAUGA